GACGAACGCUGGCGGCGUGCUUAACACAUGCAAGUCGAACGGAAAGGCCCUGCUUUUGUGGGGUGCUCGAGUGGCGAACGGGUGAGUAACACGUGAGUAACCUGCCCUUGACUUUGGGAUAACUUCAGGAAACUGGGGCUAAUACCGGAUAGGAGCUCCUGCUGCAUGGUGGGGGUUGGAAAGUUUCGGCGGUUGGGGAUGGACUCGCGGCUUAUCAGCUUGUUGGUGGGGUAGUGGCUUACCAAGGCUUUGACGGGUAGCCGGCCUGAGAGGGUGACCGGCCACAUUGGGGCUGAGAUACGGCCCAGACUCCUACGGGAGGCAGCAGUGGGGAAUAUUGCACAAUGGGCGGAAGCCUGAUGCAGCAACGCCGCGUGCGGGAUGACGGCCUUCGGGUUGUAAACCGCUUUCGCCUGUGACGAAGCGUGAGUGACGGUAAUAGGUAAAGAAGCACCGGCUAACUACGUG
RNAcentral lists this ribosomal RNA (468 nucleotides) under uncultured bacterium. RNAcentral describes it as "partial 16S ribosomal RNA". It matches the Rfam family "Bacterial small subunit ribosomal RNA", at positions 28 to 507 of the family's 1533-position model. The record is from RNAcentral.